GCUGAUAUACAUGGUGUAUUGUUAGUAUUGAAAAACUUGUUGCCAAAGUUAAAUCUUCUUACAAGCACCAGGUAAUAUCAGCUG
This 84-nucleotide microRNA precursor is filed under the name Brachionus plicatilis. RNAcentral describes it as "Bpl-Mir-29-o3_pre stem-loop". The record is from RNAcentral. Lineage: Eukaryota; Metazoa; Rotifera; Eurotatoria; Ploima; Brachionidae.